This 1383-nucleotide ribosomal RNA is filed under the name Vibrio cholerae CP1032(5). Its description in RNAcentral is "bacterial LSU rRNA". It matches the Rfam family "Bacterial large subunit ribosomal RNA", at positions 1563 to 2925 of the family's 2925-position model. The record is from RNAcentral. Lineage: Bacteria; Pseudomonadati; Pseudomonadota; Gammaproteobacteria; Vibrionales; Vibrionaceae.
ACGACGUCGAGCUACUACGGUAGUGAAGUCAUUGAUGCCAUGCUUCCAGGAAAAGCCUCUAAGCUUCAGAUAGUCAGGAAUCGUACCCCAAACCGACACAGGUGGUCGGGUAGAGAAUACCAAGGCGCUUGAGAGAACUCGGGUGAAGGAACUAGGCAAAAUGGUACCGUAACUUCGGGAGAAGGUACGCUCUUGAUGGUGAAGUCCCUCGCGGAUGGAGCUGACGAGAGUCGCAGAUACCAGGUGGCUGCAACUGUUUAUUAAAAACACAGCACUGUGCAAAAUCGCAAGAUGACGUAUACGGUGUGACGCCUGCCCGGUGCCGGAAGGUUAAUUGAUGGGGUUAGCGCAAGCGAAGCUCUUGAUCGAAGCCCCGGUAAACGGCGGCCGUAACUAUAACGGUCCUAAGGUAGCGAAAUCCUUGUCGGGUAAGUUCCGACCUGCACGAAUGGCGUAAUGAUGGCCACGCUGUCUCCACCCGAGACUCAGUGAAAUUGAAAUCGCUGUGAAGAUGCAGUGUACCCGCGGCUAGACGGAAAGACCCCGUGAACCUUUACUACAGCUUGGCACUGAACAUUGAACCUACAUGUGUAGGAUAGGUGGGAGGCUAUGAAGACGUGACGCCAGUUGCGUUGGAGCCGUCCUUGAAAUACCACCCUUGUAUGUUUGAUGUUCUAACUUAGACCCAUUAUCUGGGUUGAGGACAGUGCCUGGUGGGUAGUUUGACUGGGGCGGUCUCCUCCCAAAGAGUAACGGAGGAGCACGAAGGUGGGCUAAUCACGGUUGGACAUCGUGAGGUUAGUGCAAUGGCAUAAGCCCGCUUAACUGCGAGAAUGACGGUUCGAGCAGGUGCGAAAGCAGGUCAUAGUGAUCCGGUGGUUCUGUAUGGAAGGGCCAUCGCUCAACGGAUAAAAGGUACUCCGGGGAUAACAGGCUGAUACCGCCCAAGAGUUCAUAUCGACGGCGGUGUUUGGCACCUCGAUGUCGGCUCAUCACAUCCUGGGGCUGAAGUCGGUCCCAAGGGUAUGGCUGUUCGCCAUUUAAAGUGGUACGCGAGCUGGGUUUAGAACGUCGUGAGACAGUUCGGUCCCUAUCUGCCGUGGGCGUUGGAAGAUUGAAGGGGGCUGCUCCUAGUACGAGAGGACCGGAGUGGACGAACCUCUGGUGUUCGGGUUGUGUCGCCAGACGCAUUGCCCGGUAGCUAAGUUCGGAAUUGAUAAGCGCUGAAAGCAUCUAAGCGCGAAGCGAGCCCUGAGAUGAGUCUUCCCUGACAGUUUAACUGUCCUAAAGGGUUGUUCGAGACUAGAACGUUGAUAGGCAGGGUGUGUAAGCGUUGUGAGGCGUUGAGCUAACCUGUACUAAUUGCCCGUGAGGCUUAACCAU